CAGAUCAAAGCUUUAUUGGAAGCAUUUUAGUUACAUUAAAAAGAUUACUAUUAUCUGUAUGAUCUGA
Molecule: transfer RNA, 67 nt
Filed under: Curculionoidea sp. 2 KM-2015
Lineage: Eukaryota; Metazoa; Arthropoda; Insecta; Coleoptera
Also listed under: 1 other name
Description: tRNA-Val
Source: RNAcentral